GAGAGGUAGUGAAUGUGAGAAUUAAGACUAAUGAAGCACAGUUGAAAAACUGCUAUGUGAAAAGCUAGUCUUUGUGGAUUACAGUCCUUAUGUUCUUAUUGAUUGUAAGAAUUGUAAAGUCUGUUUCUCUUGAGCGUUAGGAAACAUCUGUGCUCAAAAACUUAAAUUCUGGGGAAAACAUUAAAAAUAUUAUUUCAACUUGAGAACAUUUAUAUUUUUCAUUUAAAAAUAAAAGAAAGUACAUAAAACUUAAUUCUGAAAUGCAGUUUUAUUAACAGUUGUAUGCCAAUGGCAGUUAUGCAUAAAUAAGGGGUCACAAGAUCCAAUCCUCAGUAAACAGUAGUAUUUCACAAACUUAAGGACCCUUGUUUGUAAUGUGGAUAUUCAUUUGACAGCCCGGUGUUUUGUGAAAACGUGAUAAAAUCGGCUGAAGGCUGUAAACUGAGAAUAUUUGGGGAUUUUAAAUAAAUAUUCUUGCUGAAAUCCAAAGAUCACAAUAUAAUUUAAUCUUGAGGGAGAAACCACUUGAUGCCAGUUCAAAACUUUCACAUGCCUUAGUAAGUAGAAGCAAUGAGAGGAUAACCUUCAAGUCAAUGUGACAUCUGAUUAAAGAUUUUCAUUUUUAAAUAAGACUUAGUAUGUAACUUUAUUAGAUCGAAUAUGUUUAUGUUAAUGUCCACAAUUAGCAUAUCUGAAGUCUUUUCCCACUUAAAAGGAACAUUAUUAUUAAUCAAAUUUAAAUAUUUUAAUUAUAAGAACACAAAGCUCUGUUCAUGAAUUUGCACUGAAUUAAAUUCCAAGGCCUUAGUUUCCAAAGUAUAUAGAUUGGUUUGCCGAUAGAGCAUCUAUUUUUUUGCAUUCUAAUUUAUCUGAAUCUGAGAAGUGAUCAUAUUUCUAAAUUCACACAAAAACGCCUCAGAAUCUGUACGAUAAAGAACUUGUCCAAACAGUGAUCUCAUAAAGAUCUUCAUAAAAAAAGCUGUUUAAACAACAUUGUUAAUCUCAGGUUUUAUUUUUCCUCCCAAGCAAUCUUAAAAAGUUAAUGAGGGGUAGAAGGUGUGUUCUCAUUCUUUCAGGCAUAUCAAUAUAUUUGGCUCCAGACUAAAACAACAAAAGGUGUACUAUAUUUAAACAGAACAUAAAAGAAACAGAAGAGAAUUUCACUUGUUACUAAAACAAUGCAACAUGCUUUACUAAUGACAGUGAAUUAUAAAACCCAGAUCUAUCCUUAGUAUCUGAAAGAACUGACUACAUUUGUAAUGUUAAUAUUACAAUGGCAAAAUACAAAAACAGAUUGCCAAGGGUCAUGGAAUGUGCACUAGUCUCUUUUUCCCCAUAUUUAGAGAUAAAAUAUCACUUUUAUCAAUGAACCCACCAUUAGCUAUUUUAAAUUGUUACUUCAUUUUUAAACUAGUGCAUUAGUUGUUAAUUUUUUGCCCCAUCACAGAAUGGUUUUUGCUUGUGAUGAUAGCAUUAUAACUACCCCAAAGGCAAUUAGCCGACUUAAUUUCCAGACUGUCCACUAAACAAUUCAGAAUUCUUUAAACUUUUCCAAAUAUUUGUGAUAAAUGUCAAAAUAUCAGUGGAAUUUUAAUCAGCACAAACUUCUAACAAGCAUGUGAAAAUUAAGUGAAAGCAAGUUUUCCUUUCCGAUAUUUGUUUUUAAUCAGUGCCUCACUUAAGCUUAAAGGAACAGCUGAAUAAAUUCCUUGUCAGUUGAAGACAAUCUACAUCUGUUCUGCCAUAAUUUAGUAUAACUGCUUUCCCAUCAGGACUCAAGCCCAGCCAAAUAACUAAGCACCCAAAUCCCCACAGAUGCUCUGCAACUGCCACAAUAAGGCAGAAACAACAACAAGCAGCUAGCGCGUUCCUUCUUAUAGCAAACAGAGAAAGCUCAAAACCCUGUAGGUGGUAACUUGCUAUAUAUGAGUGCUGUAGAAAGCCACUGGCAAACAUUCAAAUACUCGCAUUCCUUAGCUCAGCUAGGAGAGGCUCAGCGAUAGCUAACAGGAGUAAGAACUAUGGGCACAAUGUAUGAGUUCUACACAAGAAUUAUCUUCCAACCAGCAAAAGAACUGAUCCAGAUUCUGAUCUCACUCUCAUGGUCUCCUGUCAGCACAGGUUCAAUGAUGUCAGCAGAUUUACUCCUUAUUUGAACUGUUGAGAGAGGAGAAUGAGGUUUCCUAGGAAAUUGUUCCCUGAUCUGUUUUAUGGUCACCGUUUCUGGUGUGAAUGGAUAAAAGAGAGGAAGAGGACAAAGCACUUGGAAAACAGGAUGGAGCACAAAUGCAAGUUAAAGGAGCAGAAAAGCUCUCAAAGUAAGAGAAGACAGAGACUGAGCAAAGCCAGCUUAGCACACCUCUUCUGCCAAGAAGUUCACAAGAAGUUUUCCAUACACAACGGUAGUCCUGUAACAAGAGUAUUAAACUGGAACUUGGUUAACUUGGAUUCAGUUCUCUCUCUGCCAAAGUGUGUGAUCUUAGGUAAGUCUCUCUGUAUUUCAGUUUUCCAUCUAUAAAACUAGAGUAGCAAUCAGUCUAUCCUUAGGAUUUAUGGGGCCCUAUGCAUUACUGGGAUAAGAAGAGGCAGCUGGGUGGACAUUAAGACCCAGUCCUGCCCCAAAUUUUCAGGUGUGCUAUGCAGCUGCAUAUUCUGCAUACGGGUAAGGAUGGCCCUGGUAGUAAUAAUUACCUUUCUUCUGGGGGUGCUGUGAAAGUAAAUGUAUUAAUGACUGUGUGGUGCUCAGAUAUUGAGAUGGUGCAUUCCAGAGAAGUACCUCAAUGGAUGGAAUUAGAUAGAGCACUACCCGUGCUGGCAGUCACGUCCAACUAGCCAGCAAAGACAAUCUCACCAUGUUUCCUGUCAAGAUUCUCUGUGUCUGCAGUGAGGCAGUCAUUUCAUAAACUCUGCUUCAGACACAACUGGACUCUAAUUUUUCAGCCUUAUUUAGCAAUCAGCGUUCUUCCAUUUGAUCUUAAUAGUCUCAAUUAUUUUGGUAGGUUAUUUCAGAUUUCUAACAAAUAUUGAGCUUUAUUUUCAUCUCCAGCAUAGAACAAGUUCUCCUUGAUUAAAAAGAAAAUGAUGGACAAGAGAAGGGGGCUGAAACCAAAAUUUCAGCCAAUGCUGCUUUGCAAACUGGUAAGAGGAAAAAUCUGUAUCUCUACUGCUCUGGUACGUUAAAAGAACCAGAAGAAUUUGCUUGGCAAUAGCUGAACCUACCUCCAACAUUUCAAGAUUUUUGUUUUCUAAUGAAAGCAUCAGCAAUGUGGCACCUAACAUUAUGUGCCGGAUAACUCAUAAUAGUACUUGGGGAGGUGGGGAAGGGGGGGGAGGAUAAUUCUCGCCACUCACUCUGCCCAAAUGGUGUCUGGGAUGGAUUUAGAACCUACAGGAAUCUACUUUCUCAGAUAACGAAAUAUGUUUUAAGAGCCUGUCUGUUGUUAUUCAAGAUUAGCUCCAGGUCAAAUAAAUAAAUGAAGAUACUGAAAAAAUUGCAUAGGCUCUACUUUCUCUUGGGAUUUUAAUAAAGAAGAAAAAUAAAGUGGCAGAGAAUGUAUUUAAAAAUACCAGGGAAAAAAAUAAAAAAGAUCCAGAAAAUCAGAUUUCCUUUUAUUUCUUUUCUGUUUCCUUGUUAAUGUAGGAAGAAGAGCUGCUGAAUUCAGAUACUGGCACUUGAUUCAGGAUACAGUUUCCCUUUGAUUAUUUCCAGAUAAUGAGAAUAAAAGAGUAAAAAUGACUCACUGAAUUCAGAAAAACAGAGUAAGAGGAGGUUAGAAGCUUAUCUGUGGCUGGCCCACAGAGAUGAGAAGCUACUGCUAUCCUUUAUUUCAAGUAAGGAGGAGUGAAGAGGCCUAUGCUGUGGAUGUAAAGGCUAUGCAUUCCAGUCUUGCUGAUAGCACAUAAUGGGGUCAAUACAGUUCCAUCUAAUGGAUUUUUUUAUCGUGUUUAUCUUUAUGUCUAGUAGCAUGAAUAGUGAUAUUUUUGAAGGUCACUGAGCUGCCAUGGUGAUAGGUACUUAAUCUUCAAAUAUCACAUUUUUCUUAUGCUUUGGUAGUUACAGUAGUUAUAUUUAACUCUUAGGAUUCUGAUGAUUCAAAGAAGUUAGCAAAUAAAGAAAAAAAUCUGGUUUUUUUCCAGUUUGUUUCCUUCUUGCAUUUGACAACACUCUGUCUAAAGACUGUGUUCUUCAAUCUAUCAGGGGUUGUCUGCAUGGGGAAAUUUAUCAGAAUAACCACUCCAAAAUAACUCCCCAAUGAAUUAUCCAUUCUGGAAUGGUGUUCACAUUGGGAGGAAUAACUACUGCAAAAUAAUUUAUCCCAUAAUAGCUAUUUGGAUUAAUUUCCUCAUAAAGACAAGCUCUAAGGCCCCAGCCCUUCAUAUACCUACCUAUUCACAUAAAGAAUCCCAGUGAAGUCAACAGGAUUGCUUACAUAUGUCAAUACAUCUUUACAUGACCAUGGUUAUAGUUCAUUUCUCCAUUGCUGAAGUCAUGAAGAGACCAUUAUGAACAAGACCAGCACAACAGAAAAAAAUCCUUAUAAAUUAUUUUAAAAGGAUUAAAAAACUCAAGGACAUUCUGUUUAAAGAUGAUCUAUCUCAGAAACUAGACAUUUUUAAAUUAUUUACUAAAAAGUUAAUGGUGUCUCUUUAAUAGAAGAAAUGAAUGUGGGAGGAAAAGAGAUUAUACAAACUGAGUCAUGAUGUAAUUCCUGUGUUCCUUAGCCCAAAUCUUACUGUCUGGGUGCAUCUAGACUGGCAAGAUUUUGCGCAAAAGAGGACGCUUUUGCGCAAAAACU
This is a non-coding RNA of Pelodiscus sinensis (Chinese soft-shelled turtle), 4796 nucleotides long. NCBI's taxonomy places the organism in Eukaryota, Metazoa, Chordata, Testudines, Trionychidae. The record is from RefSeq and is a predicted model, not a curated record.